CCUACGGGGCGCAGCAGUCGGGAAUAUUGCGCAAUGGAGGAAACUCUGACGCAGUGACGCCGCGUAUAGGAAGAAGGUUUUCGGAUUGUAAACUAUUGUCGUGAGGGAAGAAAUUGACAGUACCUCAGGAGGAAGCUCCGGCUAACUAUGUGCCAGCAGCCGCGGUAAUACGUAGGGGGCAAGCGUUAUCCGGAUUUACUGGGUGUAAAGGGAGCGUAGACGGCGAUGCAAGUCUGAAGUGAAAGGCGGGGGCCCAACCCCCGGACUGCUUUGGAAACUGUAUGGCUGGAGUGCAGGAGAGGUAA
Molecule: ribosomal RNA, 305 nt
Filed under: uncultured bacterium
Lineage: Bacteria
Description: bacterial SSU rRNA
Rfam family: Bacterial small subunit ribosomal RNA
Source: RNAcentral